Molecule: ribosomal RNA, 496 nt
Filed under: uncultured bacterium
Lineage: Bacteria
Description: partial 16S ribosomal RNA
Rfam family: Bacterial small subunit ribosomal RNA
Source: RNAcentral
GAUGAACGCUGGCGGCGUGCCUAAUACAUGCAAGUCGAGCGAACAGACGAGGAGCUUGCUCCUCUGACGUUAGCGGCGGACGGGUGAGUACACGUGGAUAACCUACCUAUAAGACUGGGAUAACUUCGGGAAACCGGAGCUAAUACCGGAUAAUAUAUUUAACCGCAUGGUUCAAUAGUGAAAGACGGUUUUGCUGUCACUUAUAGAUGGAUCCGCGCCGCAUUAGCUAGUUGGUAAGGUAACGGCUUACCAAGGCAACGAUGCGUAGCCGACCUGAGAGGGUGAUCGGCCACACUGGAACUGAGACACGGUCCAGACUCCUACGGGAGGCAGCAGUAGGGAAUCUUCCGCAAAGGGCGAAAGCCUGACGGAGCAACGCCGCGUGAGUGAUGAAGGUCUUCGGAUCGUAAAACUCUGUUAUUAGGGAAGAACAAAUGUGUAAGUAACUAUGCACGUCUUGACGGUACCUAAUCAGAAAGCCACGGCUAACUACGUG